This 479-nucleotide ribosomal RNA is filed under the name uncultured bacterium. Its description in RNAcentral is "partial 16S ribosomal RNA". It matches the Rfam family "Bacterial small subunit ribosomal RNA", at positions 28 to 507 of the family's 1533-position model. The record is from RNAcentral.
GAUGAACGCUGGCGGCGUGCUUAACACAUGCAAGUCGAGCGAGAAGUUUUGAAAAGAUUCUUCGGAUGAAAUUUAAAAUGGAAAGCGGCGGACGGGUGAGUAACGCGUAGGCAACCUGCCCCAUACAAAGGGAUAGCAUUUGGAAACGAAUAUUAAUACCUUAUGAAACUUAACUAGUGCAUGCUAGGUAGGUCAAAGAUUUAUCGGUAUGGGAUGGGCCUGCGUCUGAUUAGCUAGUUGGUGAGGUAACGGCUCACCAAGGCGACGAUCAGUAGCCGACCUGGGAGGGUGAACGGCCACAUUGGAACUGAGACACGGUCCAAACUCCUACGGGAGGCAGCAGUGGGGAAUAUUGCACAAUGGGGGAAACCCUGAUGCAGCAACGCCGCGUGAACGAUGAAGGCCUUUGGGUCGUAAAGUUCUGUUCUAGGUGAUGAAAACUGACAGUAACCGAGGAGAAAGCCCCGGCUAACUCCGUG